This is a long non-coding RNA of Delphinapterus leucas (beluga whale), 4444 nucleotides long. RefSeq lists it as uncharacterized. The record is from RefSeq and is a predicted model, not a curated record. NCBI's taxonomy places the organism in Eukaryota, Metazoa, Chordata, Mammalia, Artiodactyla, Monodontidae.
GUCGAAGAGCGGCACUUGCACGGUGCCCAGGCUGGCCGAGGUGCCAGAGCGCAGGCAACGCGAGUAGAAGCCCAACACUGGCAUGAGAGCUCCAUGAGGGAGGAGCCAUGUGCUUUCUACCGCAUCCCCACUGUCUGCUGCCUGUCACUGCCCAUGGGAUUGACGAGGGGAGGAAACAGCAUCACCUACCAACCCCUCAGCAUCCAUGAAGUUACAGGGUUUCCUCUGCGGCAGGAGGGAUGACGAUCAGACAAGAGGAAGGACAGUCCCUCUCCCCCCAGAGCGAGUCGGCGUAGGAGGAGAAGUCGGAGUUGGCGUCCUUCUCAGCCAGAUAGACCAGGAAGGAGGCGAAGAUGAGCACCAGAAACCCGAGGUACCAGGCGGUGAUCAGCUCCUGUGGGGUCAGCAAGGGAUGAGACCAUACACCUGGCACAGGUGGGGAGGUGGACGGCUCCCAGAAUGGCCUAUGGGAGGCGUUCUGAAAGGGGAUAAGAGUACCCACCUCUCGGAAGUCCCUGGAGGUGGCUCUGCCUGCCUUUCUUUCUCAGCAACUCCCUUCAAGGAGACCCUGCCCCGCCUUCAAGGAAGAGCGAGGCCCUCACAAAACCUCAGAGCAUGCCCCGGCCCUGCACUUGACCCUCCAGGUUCCACGCUCAGACCUCCGCCCACAAGCCCAUCUUGCACCGCCCCCCAAGCCCCACUUUCAGGCUUCCAUCCCGCCCCACACCCUGUCCCGCCCCAGCCCCACCCUCAGACCCCGCUCCAGCUCCCCACUUCCCUGUAAGCGUAGACCCCCAAACCCGGAAGCUCCCAAUUGAGACUCUCAAGCCCUGCCCUUCAGGCCCCGCCUCCUGGCCUGGUCCUGACCUCCCCUCCAGACCCCGCCCUUGCCCCGCCCCCCGAGGUAGCCCCUGUGGCCUCGACCGCGCUGGGUCCCUGGUCUCCCCUACCACGGCCCCGCCUCCGCUCGGCCCCGCCCCUCCAGCUGCCGCACCAGCUCCGCCCCGGACGCGCCCCCGGACACGCCCGGCCUCACCUUGCUGUGAGCGUAGACCACCGAGCCCAGCAGCUUCCAGGUGCCGCCGCGGCGGUCCAUGCGCACCAUGCGCAGGAUCUGCAGGAAGCGCAUGCUGCGCAACGCAGACGUGGCAAAGAUGUUGCCCUGCGUGCCGGCGGCGAUGACGGCCACCGAGGCCACGAACACGAUGAAGUCUGCAGGAGCGAAGAGCGGGCGAGGUCAUGGCCAGCGCCGGGGAGCCAACCUACCCUGUGCCUGGACCCGAGGUUGGGGGUUCCUGGGGCCGAGGGGAUGAUUGGGAAGGUCUGUUGAGUCUGUGUCAGCAGCCAGGGUCCUGGGGUCAGGGUGUUAACCCUGGGGCUUGGGGGUCAAGAGUCAGGCGGGGCUGGGUAGGCCCAUUACCGAUGACACAGAAGGGUUUUCUGGCAAAGCGGAAACGGCCCUGCCAUCCUCGGUAGCGGCAGCAGCAUCCCGCGGACCAGAUGCGGAUGAUGUACUCCAGACCAAACACCACGAUCAUCACGAAUUCCUGUGGGACCAGGGGCCUGAGUUCUGGUCCCCACUCUUCAGGACCGGGGUCUAGGUCACACGGCACCCACCCAGCCCGGAGUCCCUGGGUUAGGGGUACUAGGAUUUCCUCAGACCACCUCUCCUGGAGGUUCUUACACCUGGAUGGACCUGAGGAGGAUUCCAGAAGGAAGUGGCUUCUUCCAUGUCUUCCAAAGAGACUGAAAGCCCAAAUCUAUCCUCCCUUGCUGUCCCCAUGAGCUGUCUGGGUUUUUCUUCUCCUCAUCCCACCCUCCCCCUCCCAGCCAUCCCAGCCUCUGUAACCCUGACCAGGUGACAUAAGGGGUGGUUGGUUGUCUGUCACUGUGACCCUCCAAGGUGCUUCCUGUUAGGGGGAAAACCCCAAUCACACCAGGGGUGGUGUUAGCAGUUUUGAUCCUGAGAAGGAGUGGCUCUCCUCUGGGCCCAUCAUAAGCCCUGGCAUAGAGGCGGGAGCUCUCCCAACACCUGCUAUAAAGCAAGGGAUGAAGCCCAGAGAGGGGCAGCCACCAGGUCAGAGAACACAGCACAGCAAGCCACUCUCUGAGCCAUGGUAUGAGAAGCCUCACUCCACCUUCACCCUCAGACCAGAGGUGCCACCCCGACACAGCCUCCCUCAGACCCAGACUCCGGCACUCACCAAGAUAAGGAGACACUCGUUGGCAAUUUCCUGGUGCUCCUGGAUAGUGGACAGCACGGACAGCACCAGGCAGCUGAAGACCAGCAAAAAUCUGCAAUAGCAGCAUGAAGGAGAGGGUUAGACUGCUGGAUGGACAGGGCAGCCAAGGAGCCUCUGGCAGGGGGCUGCAGAGUCAGAGUCAGAGGAGGAGGAGGGAAGCUUCAUUUGGGAAGAAUAAUCUGGAAAGCAGACUAAGAAUCAGAGUUCCCUGGAGCUGUGGCUUGGUGCUGGACACCAAAGGGAGAAGCCCCCGAGCUCCAGGAGGCUGCUGAGCUCACAGACACCUUACAGCCCUCUCAGUUGCCCUUGAUGCAGCUGCCGCUCACAGAGGUGGUCACUGAGCUGUGGGUGGUAGGUCUGUCUGGGCUGGCCGAGGGAGGGACCCAGGAAUCCCCCCUUCCCUAUGAGUUCCAAGAUGGCAGAAGCAUGGUUUCACCAGCAGAAUGAGGACAAUUGCCUCUGCCUUCGUGGGUUCUUAUGGAAUUAAAUACUGAGACAGCUAGGGAAGGAAAGGGGAUUGAGGAAGACAGAUAGGGAGGGAACAUGCAGAGGGGGAGAGGGUGUGGGAGGGCAAUCAGGCAGCAGGGAGCCAUGCCAUCGAGGCCUGGAACUUCCCGGAGGGCAGUGGAAAGCUACUGAGUGGCUCAGAACCAGAUGGUUAGAAAUGGAAGGAACUUUAGAAUCCAACUCAUCUGACACUCCCCUCAACCCUAAUUGCACACAUGAGGAAACUGAAGCCCAGAGGAGGAAAGGGAUUCACCCAAGGUCACCCAGGAUGUCCAGGACAGGGGUGAGAUUAGAGCCAGGGUUUCCAACUCCCCAGUGGAUGGGAAGAGGGGAAAGGGCGUGAGGAGAGAAGCUGCUGGACUCAGGGAGAAUGUGAAUAUGUGAGGGAAGACAGGAUGUGGGGCACAGGCUGCAGAUGCGGCAAAAGGGAACGAUGCUGGCCUCCCGGAAGCACUCCUCCUUUUGAUGGGGGUGUUGCUCCUGGAAGAGACUCCAGAGGGCAUGGGCUUCUCCGGAAACGCACAGACCUACAGCCUCUCCAAAGUGUUCCCAGAGUGUCCCCACCUGGGACUGCUGACACUGCAUUCUGCCUGAAACGACUCACCACUGGAGCCUGAUGAGAUGCUGUUCACGGUGCCCUCACCCCAGCGCUCCUGCUGGGAUGCCCCGAUCCCACUGUUCCCUCAGAACGCCCCUCCCAGUGCUCGCCUCCCAAGUCACUGUCUAUGGCGCUUUAUUUGUGUUCAUAUUUCAUCACGGCAGGGGCAUGGGCUCCAAGUCAGAGAGACCCGGGUUCAAAUUCCGGCCCUGCUGUGUGUGUGACCCUGGAAAAGUCACCUACCUUCUCUGAGCCAGUCUCGGCAUCCGUAAAGUGGGGGCUGACGGGGGGAUGGGGUGGGACAUGGGAAGGGCGUGGCUCCACCCUGGCCCACUUACACCUCCCUGGACAGGGCUCCCAGCCUGCGUGGAGGGCAGGUAUAGGGCUGCAGCCCAGCACAUGCCCCGGGGGGGGAGGAUGUAGGUGGUAGAUGUCAGUAAAAGGUUUUGGUUGAAUGAGUGAGGAAGAGGAGGCCUCCUUUGCCAGUUCCAGGCAGGAGCUGAGUCAGCAAAGACGUAAGGCACAGGGAGAGGUUGGGGAGAACACCAGCUCCUCGUGUUCAAUAAUUAACCACAGCAAACGCAGCGAACCCAGUGCUGCAUCCACCGGGAAUGGGGGCCACCACCGACACAGGGCUCAGGGGCGGAAGGGUACUCCUGAGGUUAUUCCAUCCAGCCCCCUCCUCUGGGAGGCCUGCAGCCAAAUUUUGAUGGGCCUUCACCCCAGCCCUGGACAGAAAUCCUUUAAUCCCACUGCUCAGCUGACCUCAGAACCUCAGGCAAAUGAGUCACGUUUGGGGCUUCCUGCUGAGUGUUUCAAGAUUUUUUUUUUCUCACCACUAUUCUUUCCAUGUCGAUAGGUACACAUCUCUAAAAUGUCCACUUCACAAUAGGUUACGUGAAAAAAGCAGAUUAUGAAACCUUAAAGCAAUGUGAUUCCAACUUUUAAAAUAUAGAUAUUUUGUGUACACAUACCAAGAGUCAGCAGGGCUGAUCUCUGGGUGGCAAAAUUAAGAAUGAUUUGGCAUUUGUUUUGCUUUUUGCUUAUCUUCAUUUCUUAGUUUUUUGGGUUUUUUUGCGGUACGCGGGCCUCUCAC